UACUGACGUUUAGGCUCGAAAGUGCGGGUAUCAAACAGGAUUAGAUACCCUGGUAGUCCGCACAGUAAACGAUGGACACUCGCUGUCGGCGACAGACAGUCGGCGGCCUAGCGAAAGCGUUAAGUGUCCCACCUGGGGAGUACGCCGGCAACGGUGAAACUCAAAGGAAUUGACGGGGGCCCGCACAAGCGGAGGAACAUGUGGUUUAAUUCGAUGAUACGCGAGGAACCUUACCCGGGCUUGAACUGCAUAUGACAUAUUGAGAGAUCAUUAUUCCCUUCGGGGCAUAUGUGGAGGUGCUGCAUGGUUGUCGUCAGCUCGUGCCGUGAGGUGUCGGCUUAAGUGCCAUAACGAGCGCAACCCCUUCCUUCAGUUGCCAUCGGGUUAUGCCGGGCACUCUGUAGGGACUGCCGCCGUAAGGUGUGAGGAAGGCGGGGAUGACGUCAAAUCAGCACGGCCCUUACGUCCGGGGCUACACACGUGUUACAAUGGGGGGUACAGCGGGAUGCCACCGCGCAAGCGGGCGCCGAUCCUGAAAUCCCUCCGUAGUUCGGAUUGGGGUCUGCAACCCGACCCCAUGAAGCUGGAUUCGCUAGUAAUC
RNAcentral lists this ribosomal RNA (601 nucleotides) under uncultured bacterium. Its description in RNAcentral is "bacterial SSU rRNA". It matches the Rfam family "Bacterial small subunit ribosomal RNA", at positions 738 to 1343 of the family's 1533-position model. The record is from RNAcentral.